CAGUGAUAAACUGGAGGAAGGUGGGGAUGACGUCAAGUCAUCAUGGCCCUUACGACCAGGGCUACACACGUGCUACAAUGGCGCAUACAAAGAGAAGCGACCUCGCGAGAGCAAGCGGACCUCAUAAAGUGCGUCGUAGUCCGGAUUGGAGUCUGCAACUCGACUCCAUGAAGUCGGAAUCGCUAGUAAUCGUGGAUCAGAAUGCCACGGUGAAUACGUUCCCGGGCCUUGUACACACCGCCCGUCACACCAUGGGAGUGGGUUGCAAAAGAAGUA
Molecule: ribosomal RNA, 276 nt
Filed under: Salmonella enterica
Lineage: Bacteria; Pseudomonadati; Pseudomonadota; Gammaproteobacteria; Enterobacterales; Enterobacteriaceae
Description: partial 16S ribosomal RNA
Rfam family: Bacterial small subunit ribosomal RNA
Source: RNAcentral